Molecule: ribosomal RNA, 549 nt
Filed under: uncultured bacterium
Lineage: Bacteria
Description: partial 16S ribosomal RNA
Rfam family: Bacterial small subunit ribosomal RNA
Source: RNAcentral
UGGGGAAUAUUGCACAAUGGGCGCAAGCCUGAUGCAGCCAUGCCGCGUGUGUGAAGAAGGCCUUCGGUUGUAAAGCACUUUCAGCGAGGAGGAAGGUGGUGAGCUUAAUACGCUCAUCAAUUGACGUUACUCGCAGAAGAAGCACCGGCUAACUCCGUGCCAGCAGCCGCGGUAAUACGGAGGGUGCAAGCGUUAAUCGGAAUUACUGGGCGUAAAGCGCACGCAGGCGGUUUGUUAAGUCAGAUGUGAAAUCCCCGGGCUCAACCUGGGAACUGCAUUUGAAACUGGCAAGCUAGAGUCUCGUAGAGGGGGGUAGAAUUCCAGGUGUAGCGGUGAAAUGCGUAGAGAUCUGGAGGAAUACCGGUGGCGAAGGCGGCCCCCUGGACGAAGACUGACGCUCAGGUGCGAAAGCGUGGGGAGCAAACAGGAUUAGAUACCCCUGGUAGUCCAGCGCUGUAAAACGAUGUCGAUUUUGGAGGUUGUGCCCUUGAGGCGUGGCUUCCGGAGCUAGCGCGUUAAAUCGACCGCCUGGGGAGUACGGCCGCAAGG